Molecule: ribosomal RNA, 514 nt
Filed under: uncultured Hanseniaspora
Lineage: Eukaryota; Fungi; Ascomycota; Saccharomycetes; Saccharomycodales; Saccharomycodaceae
Description: eukaryotic LSU rRNA
Rfam family: Eukaryotic large subunit ribosomal RNA
Source: RNAcentral
AAACCAACUGGGAUUACCUUAGUAACGGCGAGUGAAGCGGUAAAAGCUCAAAUUUGAAAUCUGGUACUUUCAGUGCCCGAGUUGUAAUUUGUAGAAUUUGUCUUUGAUUAGGUCCUUGUCUAUGUUCCUUGGAACAGGACGUCAUAGAGGGUGAGAAUCCCGUUUGGCGAGGAUACCUUUUCUCUGUAAGACUUUUCCGAAGAGUCGAGUUGUUUGGGAAUGCAGCUCAAAGUGGGUGGUAAAUUCCAUCUAAAGCUAAAUAUUGGCGAGAGACCGAUAGCGAACAAGUACAGUGAUGGAAAGAUGAAAAGAACUUUGAAAAGAGAGUGAAAAAGUACGUGAAAUUGUUGAAAGGGAAGGGCAUUUGAUCAGACAUGGUGUUUUUGCAUGCACUCGCCUCUCGUGGGCUUGGGCCUCUCAAAAAUUUCACUGGGCCAACAUCAAUUCUGGCAGUAGGAUAAAUCAUUAAGAAUGUAGCUACCUCGGUAGUGUUAUAGCUUAUUGGAAUACUGCU